Oncorhynchus masou masou (cherry salmon) is the source of this 332-nucleotide long non-coding RNA. RefSeq lists it as uncharacterized. Lineage: Eukaryota; Metazoa; Chordata; Actinopteri; Salmoniformes; Salmonidae. The transcript has 3 exons. The record is from RefSeq and is a predicted model, not a curated record.
AGUCAAAAGGAGGUGCUGUCAAGGCAGACAUGCAGAAAAUCCUUGAAGUUCUGUACAGGUGCAACACCAUCCAGGAGAGAAGAGACGGUGUGAUCCGUGCCCUGAUCAUAUACCCCGGCGAGAGGGUUGAAGACCUUAUCACAGAAAACAAGGAUGCUGACGACACCAUGAUCCGAGAGGACCUCGUUCAGCAUGUGAUGAAAGUGUUCACUGUGAAGGAUCUGCACCAGAAUAUAGAGCAUGGGAUCUGCAUCGAAGGAGCAGAAGUCCUGGCUGGUAUUCCCAGUGUUACAGUCAUGUACGUUGCUUAUGGGCCUCAUCUAUAGCUUAAA